UACGGGGGGAGCAAGCGUUGUUCGGAUUUACUGGGCGUAAAGAGCGUGUAGGCGGCCAGACAAGUCUGCUGUGAAAACUCGAGGCUCAACCUCGAGCUGUCGGUGGAAACUGUCUGGCUAGAGUCCGGAAGAGGAGAGUGGAAUUCCUGGUGUAGCGGUGAAAUGCGCAGAUAUCAGGAAGAACACCUAUGGCGAAGGCAGCUCUCUGGGACGGUACUGACGCUGAGACGCGAAAGCGUGGGGAGCGAACAGG
This 253-nucleotide ribosomal RNA is filed under the name uncultured bacterium. Its description in RNAcentral is "partial 16S ribosomal RNA". It matches the Rfam family "Bacterial small subunit ribosomal RNA", at positions 524 to 776 of the family's 1533-position model. The record is from RNAcentral.